RNAcentral lists this ribosomal RNA (301 nucleotides) under uncultured bacterium. RNAcentral's name for it is "partial 16S ribosomal RNA". It matches the Rfam family "Bacterial small subunit ribosomal RNA", at positions 509 to 807 of the family's 1533-position model. The record is from RNAcentral.
CAGUCGCCGCGGUAAUACGAAGGGUGCAAGCGUUAAUCGGAAUUACUGGGCGUAAAGCGCGCGUAGGCGGUUUGUUAAGUCUGUUGUGAAAUCCCCGGGCUCAACCUGGGAAUGGCAAUGGAUACUGGCAAGCUAGAGUGUGUCAGAGGAUGGUGGAAUUCCCGGUGUAGCGGUGAAAUACGUAGAGAUCGGGAGGAACAUCAGUGGCGAAGGCGGCCAUCUGGGACAACACUGACGCUGAGGCACGAGAGCGUGGGGAGCAAACAGGAUUAGAUACCCCGGUAGUCCCUGUCUCUUAUAC